Molecule: transfer RNA, 191 nt
Filed under: Umbilicaria muhlenbergii
Lineage: Eukaryota; Fungi; Ascomycota; Lecanoromycetes; Umbilicariales; Umbilicariaceae
Description: tRNA-Und (NNN) (tRNA-Und-NNN-7-1)
Source: RNAcentral
UCUUCCUUGGUCUAGUGGUCAUGAUUUCCGCGUAUGUCUGCCCGUCUAUUGUAGCUCCAUCGCCCAGUGCUUACAAUGUCACAGUUGUCAUUAAACCGACAAGCCGCGGGAGAGUAAGCGCUUCGCUUUCCAAUUCAAGACAAUCGAAUUCUAACAGUCGCACAGCCGGGGUUCGAUUCCCCGAGGGAGAG